GACGAACGCUGGCGGCGUGCUUAACACAUGCAAGUCGAACGGUGAAGCGCCUUCCUUUUUGGUGGGUGUGGAUGAGUGGCGAACGGGUGAGUAACACGUGAGUAACCUGCCCCCUUCUUCUGGAUAACCGCAUGAAAGUGUGGCUAAUACGGGAUAUUCUGGGUCUGUCGCAUGAUGGGUCUGGGAAAGAUAUUGUUUCGGUGGGGGAUGGGCUCGCGGCCUAUCAGGUUGUUGGUGGGGUGGUGGCCUACCAAGGCGGUGACGGGGAGCCGGCCUGAGAGGGUGGACGGUCACACUGGGGCUGAGACACGGCCCAGACUCCUACGGGAGGCAGCAGUGGGGAAUAUUGCACAAUGGGCGCAAGACUGAUGCAGCGACGCCGCGUGAGGGAUGGAGGCCUUCGGGUUGUGAACCUCUUUCGCCAGUGAAGCAGGCCUGCCUCGUUUGUGGGUGGGUUGACGGUAGCUGGAUAAGAAGCGCCGGCUAACUACGUG
Molecule: ribosomal RNA, 494 nt
Filed under: uncultured bacterium
Lineage: Bacteria
Description: partial 16S ribosomal RNA
Rfam family: Bacterial small subunit ribosomal RNA
Source: RNAcentral